RNAcentral lists this ribosomal RNA (912 nucleotides) under Triticum aestivum (bread wheat). RNAcentral describes it as "partial small subunit ribosomal RNA". The record is from RNAcentral. Lineage: Eukaryota; Viridiplantae; Streptophyta; Magnoliopsida; Poales; Poaceae.
CCUUCUUGAUUGCGUAGCAGUAGACGCGUCUGAGGCUUUGGGUUUGGGGUCUGAGUCGCUGUCUCUCGUCGGUCGUCGGAGGAGGCGGCGGCGGGUACAGUCCUCCUCCCUAGCGCGCCCCGGCGGAGCGCCUCCUCGCGUUCCGGACCGCGUUCUUGGUGGGGGUACCUAAGCAGCGCUUCGGCCUCUGCCACCGGCUGCCCAGCCACUUAGAGUACUAGACCUUGACGUGGUAGGGGCCUUUCGUCCCCUGACUAACCCUUUCACCUAUGAUGGGUGAAUGAGAGGUAAAGUCACUCCUGAUGGGAUCGUUUGGAGGGUUCACGUUCAAGGGCGUCCCAAAAAAGGUGGGUUUACAGAUAGGAAGUCCCUGCCAGACGGAGAGCUAAGAAUUACUCCUAUCACCAACCUCUGGACGGUAGUGACAAUUCGUCUAAGAUCAACCUUAUGUCCUAAACGAACUAGUUGGAUUAGGUCGACUAGGACGGGUCUGACUACCAAUAGUGGAGAAAUAGGUCCUAGGUCGUCUCAUGUUCUCUGCGUAAGCCGACGUCCGGUUCGUCAUGGGACGAGACCAAACUCCUAGGUACAUCGUCAGAUUUUAGUAUUUAAUGGCGUGGACUUUUAUACUUCAAACUGAUUUAUAUUGGCUUUCGCCCCAUAACACCUCUCGAAAGGUAACACUGGCACCUGUAAACACUGCACACCAGACCACAACUGGUUUGUUUUUAGUCCAGGAAGACGAACUUACUACCUACACACCUAUGAAAACUUGAACUGAGGAACUAACACAGAAGACAACUAAAAAAAACACCAAAGCCACUAGAGAAGUUUUUAUUAAACUACACUCGUCAUCGAAGGAAAAUUUUCUUCUCCAUUUUCUUCACCCAUUCCGUUGGGUCAACUUGGGAU